GAGUUUGAUCAUGGCUCAGAUUGAACGCUGGCGGCAUGCCUUACACAUGCAAGUCGAACGGCGGCAUGAUCUAGCUUGCUAGAUUGAUGGCGAGUGGCGAACGGGUGAGUAAUACAUCGGAACGUGCCCUGUAGUGGGGGAUAACUAGUCGAAAGAUUAGCUAAUACCGCAUACGACCUGAGGGUGAAAGUGGGGGACCGCAAGGCCUCAUGCUAUAGGAGCGGCCGAUGUCUGAUUAGCUAGUUGGUGGGGUAAAGGCCCACCAAGGCGACGAUCAGUAGCUGGUCUGAGAGGACGAUCAGCCACACUGGGACUGAGACACGGCCCAGACUCCUACGGGAGGCAGCAGUGGGGAAUUUUGGACAAUGGGCGAAAGCCUGAUCCAGCAAUGCCGCGUGUGUGAAGAAGGCCUUCGGUGUAAGCACUUUGUCCGGUAGAG
RNAcentral lists this ribosomal RNA (439 nucleotides) under uncultured microorganism. Its description in RNAcentral is "bacterial SSU rRNA". It matches the Rfam family "Bacterial small subunit ribosomal RNA", at positions 9 to 447 of the family's 1533-position model. The record is from RNAcentral.